CUGCGAUGGCUCUCAGGAUCCCUGCUCCUUGUGGGGCACACCUCCUCCCAGACGAGUGAUCAAACAGGAAGGUCUGGGGGAAGCUGGCCACAAUAUUUUAAGGACAUUGCAGCAGCCCCUGCACCCCCUGCUGGAGAGACCUUCAUGGGAAGAAUGGAAACCUCCUGCUAACCACCAGCAUGAGCCAUGUUGGAAGUGAAUCCUCCUGACCCAGUGAGAUGAACCUUGAUUGAUGUUGUUUCUCAGUUUUGAAGUCUAAAAUAAAAUAGAAAUGGCCCAAAGGAAA
Molecule: long non-coding RNA, 286 nt
Filed under: Heterocephalus glaber (naked mole-rat)
Lineage: Eukaryota; Metazoa; Chordata; Mammalia; Rodentia; Bathyergidae
Description: lncRNA (ENSHGLG00100033879.1)
Source: RNAcentral